This 91-nucleotide signal recognition particle RNA is filed under the name human gut metagenome. RNAcentral describes it as "Bacterial small signal recognition particle RNA". It matches the Rfam family "Bacterial small signal recognition particle RNA". From Rfam's summary of the family: The signal recognition particle (SRP) is a universally conserved ribonucleoprotein involved in the co-translational targeting of proteins to membranes. The record is from RNAcentral.
UGGGUCUUGCGCAAUGGAUAUCUGCGAACCGUGUCAGGGUGGGAACACAGCAGCACUAAGCGGAAUCUUCCAUGUGCCGCGAGGAAGCCUG